UCGAGCGAGACCAGGGCUUCGGCCCUGGGGACAGCGGCGAACGGGUGAGUAACACGUGGAUAACCUGCCCUCGGCACCGGGAUAGCCCGAGGAAACUCGGAUUAAUACCGGAUAGCCUUACCGACUCUCGGGUCGGUUCGAAAAGGUAGCUUCGGCCUCCGGCCGAGGAUGGGUCCGCGGCGGAUUAGCUUGUUGGUGGGGUAAUGGCCUACCAAGGCUCCGAUCCGUAGCUGGUCUGAGAGGACGAUCAGCCACACUGGGACUGAGACACGGCCCAGACUCCUACGGGAGGCAGCAGUGGGGAAUCUUGCGCAAUGGGCGAAAGCCUGACGCAGCGACGCCGCGUGAGGGAAGAAGGCCUUCGGGUUGUAAACCUCUUUCAGGAGGGACGAAGCUACUCGGGUGAAUAGCCCAGAGGGUGACGGUACCUCCAGAAGAAGCCCCGGCUAACUACGUGCCAGCAGCCGCGGUAAUACGUAGGGGGCAAGCGUUG
Molecule: ribosomal RNA, 493 nt
Filed under: uncultured bacterium
Lineage: Bacteria
Description: bacterial SSU rRNA
Rfam family: Bacterial small subunit ribosomal RNA
Source: RNAcentral